GUGGGGAAUCUUAGACAAUGGGGGAAACCCUGAUCUAGCCAUGCCGCGUGAGCGAUGAAGGCCUUAGGGUUGUAAAGCUCUUUCAGCUGGGAAGAUAAUGACGGUACCCUCAGAAGAAGCCCCGGCUAACUCCGUGCCAGCAGCCGCGGUAAUACGGAGGGGGCUAGCGUUGUUCGGAAUUACUGGGCGUAAAGCGCACGUAGGCGGACCAGAAAGUCAGGGGUGAAAUCCCGGGGCUCAACCCCGGGACUGCCUUAGAAACUCCUGGUCUUGAGGUCGAGAGAGGUGAGGGGAAGUCCGAGUGUAGAGGUGAAAUUCGUAGAUAUUCGGAGGAACACCAGUGGCGAAGGCGGCUCACUGGCUCGAUACUGACGCUGAGGUGCGAAAGCGUGGGGAGCAAACAGGAUUAGAAACCCGUGUAGUCC
This 425-nucleotide ribosomal RNA is filed under the name uncultured bacterium. Its description in RNAcentral is "partial 16S ribosomal RNA". It matches the Rfam family "Bacterial small subunit ribosomal RNA", at positions 354 to 796 of the family's 1533-position model. The record is from RNAcentral.